AUUGAACGCUGGCGGCAUGCCUUACACAUGCAAGUCGAACGGUAACAGGUUAAGCUGACGAGUGGCGAACGGGUGAGUAAUAUAUCGGAACGUGCCCAGUCGUGGGGGAUAACGUAGCGAAAGCUACGCUAAUACCGCAUACGAUCUACGGAUGUAAGCGGGGGAUCGCAAGACCUCGCGCGAUUGGAGCGGCCGAUAUCAGAUUAGGUUGUUGGUCGGGUAAAAGCUCACCAAGCCUGCGAUCUGUAGCGGGUCUGAGAGGACGACCAGCCACACGGGAACGGAUACACGGUCCAGACUCCUACGGGAGGCAGCAGUGGGGAAUUUUGGACAAUGGACGCAAGUCUGAUCCAGCAAUGCCGCGUGCAGGACGAAGGCCUUCGGGUUGUAAACUGCUUUUGUACGGAACGAAACGGUGAACUCUAAUAUAGUUUGCUAAUGACGGUACCGUAAGAAUAAGCACCGGCUAACUACGUGCCAGCAGCCGCGGUAA
This 493-nucleotide ribosomal RNA is filed under the name uncultured bacterium. RNAcentral describes it as "partial 16S ribosomal RNA". It matches the Rfam family "Bacterial small subunit ribosomal RNA", at positions 30 to 523 of the family's 1533-position model. The record is from RNAcentral.